Betta splendens (Siamese fighting fish) is the source of this 1888-nucleotide long non-coding RNA. RefSeq lists it as uncharacterized. The record is from RefSeq and is a predicted model, not a curated record. The transcript has 7 exons. NCBI's taxonomy places the organism in Eukaryota, Metazoa, Chordata, Actinopteri, Anabantiformes, Osphronemidae.
GAUGCAUUUCAUACACGGUGAGGGGAAAGAAGCUGAUGCCCCCCCCCACACACACAUACCUGUCCGUACUCGUUGCCCACGUUUGUCACCCACGCUGCAGUGCCCGCAGCUUUGCCAGCCAGCUUGGAGGUCAUCUGGACGUGUGACAAAAGGCAGAAAGAAAAUAUUCCAUCUUCAGAAUGUUGCCGAAGAUAGACGUGACCCUGGCCUUGGUCGCCUCCAGCCUAGACAGGGCGUCCCUGACAAAGACGGAGAGGAGCCAGCCCACGGUGGGCACCGGGUGCAGGGGUGGGACAGUCACCGGCUUGACUGCUGCACCCGCUACGCCCAGCUUCUUCAGCACCCCGAGGCGUCUCACAGGCUCAGCACUUACUUGUAGGCGGCCAUCUUCUUCCCACAGGAACGACAUUCCAGGUACUCUGUGCCCAUAAAGUACCAGCCGUCCCUGUCCAGAACCCUGCGCACCGUCUUGUACAGUCCUGCGCCGGUCAGCUUUGUGUCACAGCUGGGGCACACAAGCCUGCACGCCCACAUCCUGUAGGGCAUCCACAGGAAGAACGGCCUCUGGAAGAAGGCGUGGGACGAUGCAGGGGUCUGGGUGUAGAGGGGCCGGGCUCCGGGAGGGUACCACCAGAGGCGAAGGUCGGUGGUGAGGACACGCUGGCCCCUGGCGUUCCUGGUGAACAGAGCCCGGCCCACCCAGUCCUGCUGCUCCUCCGGCAGAGUCUGCCUCCAGCUGUGAGGCAGCAACUUCACCACAGAAACAGACAAAAGGACAGCCCUCAGCUGCGGCUGCAGCUCUGGUCCUGGGCCGCACGGCGACGCCGCUGUCACCACUGGAAGACAGGUCCAGGUCAUCGACUGGCACAGGAGUGGAGGCUGAAGAUGGGACCUCUGCAAAAAUAACUAAAAAACAAACUUUACUAUCCCAGUUAAACUACUGACGGACAACAACAAUCACCAUACCAUAAUGUGAUGACAUACAGACGGACAGCGAAGCGUGAGUAUCUACCAAGGUUAGGUUGUUAGGCCUACAGCUGAUCUCUACAGGGUCCAGUAAACAUCAACCGUACCUCGUAGUCACCUUAUAACUUACAUACAGUUUUACACCAUUAAUCCAUAGAAGGCUUCUGAAUAACAGAAGAACAGCUAUUAUCAGGUCCAAACACGUUCACCACAGAAUCAUUUACAUUUGAUAAAGGGUUAUAACCAUUGCAUGUGUGCUUGUGCGUGUGAGUGAACUCACGCUGACUCUCCACCUCCAAGGCAGCAGCCAGGAGCAUCUCGUCUGAGGGCUCGUUAGCAGCUGUUUCACACAGAAAAGACAAAGAAACACCUACUGUCAGAUGGUGGGCACUGGGGCUGCUGGGAGGGAUGCUGGUUCUUCUCCUGGUCCCGGCCCAGUAUGUAGGUCUUUAAAGCAUGCAGGUUGCUGCCUGGGAUGCACUUCUUCUUCCUCAGCCACUGCACGUAGCUACAGAAACAACAACAUCACUAACAACUGUGUGCGCGGUUGUUCCAGACAGACUCAAUGUCACUAUUUCAUCUGCACUGGUGUUUGUUGUCUGUGCACAGGCUUACGUCUCAACCUCUUUCCCCGUGGCCUCGUACAUGGAGGCGUAGGUCAUGGCUCCGUGGGGGCCGAACUCCACCAACUUCUUGUCUUGGCUCCGGACAGACUUGGAACCCUCCGUGGCACGGCGUCCCUCCACGGCUGACAUCACCUCUGGGAACAGCUUGCUGUAGGAGCACCUUGUUGGCCAUAAGUGGUGAGCUGGAUGUGUCACCACUCUCCCGCUCCUUCUGGUGUGAGGCCAGCAGGGACACAGCGUAGCCCACGUCGUGACUCAGGAGCCACUUGAAGGUCUGUCCCCGGUACUGCCCAAAC